RNAcentral lists this small RNA (28 nucleotides) under Bombyx mori (domestic silkworm). RNAcentral describes it as "ovarian small RNA-29719". The record is from RNAcentral. Lineage: Eukaryota; Metazoa; Arthropoda; Insecta; Lepidoptera; Bombycidae.
UCUCGAGUUUUUGGGAUUUUAUUGCCUU